This 253-nucleotide ribosomal RNA is filed under the name uncultured bacterium. RNAcentral's name for it is "partial 16S ribosomal RNA". It matches the Rfam family "Bacterial small subunit ribosomal RNA", at positions 524 to 776 of the family's 1533-position model. The record is from RNAcentral.
UACGUAGGGGGCGAGCGUUGUCCGGAAUUAUUGGGCGUAAAGAGCGUGUAGGCGGUCUGUCGCGUCUGCUGUGAAAAUCCGGGGCUCAACCCCGGACUUGCAGUGGGUACGGGCAGACUAGAGUGUGGUAGGGGAGACUGGAAUUCCUGGUGUAGCGGUGAAAUGCGCAGAUAUCAGGAGGAACACCGAUGGCGAAGGCAGGUCUCUGGGCCACUACUGACGCUGAGAAGCGAAAGCAUGGGGAGCGAACAGG